Molecule: ribosomal RNA, 450 nt
Filed under: uncultured bacterium
Lineage: Bacteria
Description: partial 16S ribosomal RNA
Rfam family: Bacterial small subunit ribosomal RNA
Source: RNAcentral
GUGAGGAAUAUUGGACAAUGGGCGCAAGCCUGAUGCAGCCAUGCCGCGUGUAUGAAGAAGGCCUUCGGGUUGUAAAGUACUUUCAGCGAGGAGGAAGGUGUUGAGGUUAAUAACCUCAGCAAUUGACGUUACUCGCAGAAGAAGCACCGGCUAACUCCGUGCCAGCAGCCGCGGUAAUACGGAGGGUGCAAGCGUUAAUCGGAAUUACUGGGCGUAAAGCGCACGCAGGCGGUCUGUCAAGUCGGAUGUGAAAUCCCCGGGCUCAACCUGGGAACUGCAUCCGAAACUGGCAGGCUAGAGUCUUGUAGAGGGGGGUAGAAUUCCAGGUGUAGCGGUGAAAUGCGUAGAGAUCUGGAGGAAUACCGGUGGCGAAGGCGGCCCCCUGGACAAAGACUGACGCUCAGGUGCGAAAGCGUGGGGAGCAAACAGGAUUAGAAACCCUAGUAGUCC